RNAcentral lists this unclassified non-coding RNA (433 nucleotides) under soil metagenome. RNAcentral's name for it is "partial contains 5.8S ribosomal RNA, internal transcribed spacer 2, and large subunit ribosomal RNA". The stretch from base 1 to 120 matches the Rfam family "5.8S ribosomal RNA", at positions 35 to 154 of the family's 154-position model. The record is from RNAcentral.
GAUGAAGAACGCAGCGAAAUGCGAUACGUAAUGUGAAUUGCAGAAUUCAGUGAAUCAUCGAAUCUUUGAACGCAUAUUGCGCUCUCUGGUAUUCCGGAGAGCAUGCUUGUUUGAGUAUCAGUAAACACCUCAACUCCCCUUUCUUUUUUUGAAAUGGGAGCUGGACUUGAGUGAUCCCAACGCUUUUCUCACCGAAAAGUGGCGGGUUACUUGAAAUGCAGGUGCAGCUGGACUUUUCUCUGAGCUAAAAGCAUAUCUAUUUAGUCUGCCUAAAAAACAGAUUAUUACCUUUGCUGCAGCUAACAUAAAGGAGAUUAGUUCUUGUGCUGACUGAUGCAGGAUUCACAGAGACAGCUUCGGCUGGCCUUUGUAAACUCAAUCUCAAAUCAAGUAAGACUACCCGCUGAACUUAAGCAUAUCAAUAAGCGGAGGA